RNAcentral lists this long non-coding RNA (777 nucleotides) under Marmota monax (woodchuck). Lineage: Eukaryota; Metazoa; Chordata; Mammalia; Rodentia; Sciuridae. The record is from RNAcentral.
CCUCAAGUCCAGUCAUUGACUACUCUCCCGCUGACGGCGAUGCCAACUUCCAAAGCUGCUUUUUCAGCCCAAAUUGCAGGUCUCAAAAGUCCCCCAGUAACCUGGCUGGAAGGGAGUCCUCUCUGCUGAGAACCACGCCUCUCGCACCAACGCUGCCACGUCAGGCACCACAUCGUUCCUCGCUCUAGGAUUAACACUAGAUAGCAUGAAAAGCAGUCUCAGUCAAAGUGGACAAGGCCCUAGAACUUCCCAAGGAAAACGGAAGUCACCACACCAGGUCGCGGCGACCUUUGCCGACGGCUGCCCAGCACUCACUGGAAGUCAGGAACACAAAAAUGUCACUUUUCCUCUUUGAGCCGCCUUGACGGUCACUACAAGCUUACCUUGAGAUGCUCUAAGUCUGUAUACCUUGUGAUAAUUAGUACCACACUGUAGAAUUAGGAAAUCAAUAACCAAGUGUUUUUAUUGCAUAUACUGUAGUCCUGUCUAAAUGCCUUCUAGCAGGAAUAUAGUAACGUAGUGCUUAUUCUGUGAAUAUUACCAUGUAUUUUUUACAUUGUACAGUAUAGAGAACACAGGUUCACUCAGAAGUGGCAGGCAUGCUCCACUACAACAGACAGACAACUUUUGCUGUAAGCAAUACCUAGUGGUAUGAGAAUUCUAUUUCAAGUCCUAAAAUAUUUCAACUUACAGCUUGUUUGGAAAAAGAAAUUUCCAUUUUUUGUAAAAAUAUAUGUUUCCUGAUUACCUCUUGCUAAUAAAUCUAUUCUAUCUCAG